Molecule: transfer RNA, 82 nt
Filed under: Candidatus Ornithospirochaeta stercoravium
Lineage: Bacteria; Pseudomonadati; Spirochaetota; Spirochaetia; Spirochaetales; Spirochaetaceae
Description: tRNA-Leu
Rfam family: tRNA
About the family: Transfer RNA (tRNA) molecules are approximately 80 nucleotides in length. Their secondary structure includes four short double-helical elements and three loops (D, anti-codon, and T loops).
Source: RNAcentral
GCGGUCGUGGUGGAAUUGGUAGACACGCUAGCUUGAGGUGCUAGUGGUGAGAGCUGUGCUGGUUCAAGUCCAGUCGACCGCA